GACGAACGCUGGCGGCGUGCUUAACACAUGCAAGUCGAACGGAAAGGCCCUGCUUUUGUGGGGUGCUCGAGUGGCGAACGGGUGAGUAACACGUGAGUAACCUGCCCUUGACUUUGGGAUAACUUCAGGAAACUGGGGCUAAUACCGGAUAGGAGCUCCUGCUGCAUGGUGGGGGUUGGAAAGUUUCGGCGGUUGGGGAUGGACUCGCGGCUUAUCAGCUUGUUGGUGGGGUAGUGGCUUACCAAGGCUUUGACGGGUAGCCGGCCUGAGAGGGUCACCGGCCACAUUGGGACGGGGAUACGGCCCAGACUCCAACGGGAGGCAGCAGUGGGGAAUAUUGCACAAGGGGCGGAAGCCUGAUGCAGCAACGCCGCGUGCGGGAUGACGGCCUUCGGGUUGUAAACCGCUGUCGCCUGUGACGAAGCGUGAGUGACGGUAAUGGGUAAAGAAGCACCGGCUAACUACGUG
This 468-nucleotide ribosomal RNA is filed under the name uncultured bacterium. RNAcentral's name for it is "partial 16S ribosomal RNA". It matches the Rfam family "Bacterial small subunit ribosomal RNA", at positions 28 to 507 of the family's 1533-position model. The record is from RNAcentral.